CGAUAGCAUGGCCGAGUCCGUAGGCAGUAAACUGUAGAUUUACUAACGAGUUUUACUCUGCUAUC
This 65-nucleotide transfer RNA is filed under the name Coleoptera sp. ACP-2013. RNAcentral describes it as "tRNA-Tyr". Lineage: Eukaryota; Metazoa; Arthropoda; Insecta; Coleoptera. The record is from RNAcentral.